This 220-nucleotide small RNA is filed under the name Listeria grayi DSM 20601. RNAcentral describes it as "Listeria sRNA rliI". It matches the Rfam family "Listeria sRNA rliI". Lineage: Bacteria; Bacillati; Bacillota; Bacilli; Caryophanales; Listeriaceae. The record is from Rfam by way of RNAcentral.
AAUCAAAAAGGUGGUGAAGAAACAAUGCUUUUUACAAUUGCGCGUUCUAAUUUAAUGACAUUCUUAUAUUUUGUUCGUGCAAUUAUUUCCACUAUUUUCGUUCAAGGGAUCAGUCUGUCCUUUUUUAAACAAACGAAUAGUCGAAAAAGAAGCAUUGAAUCUACCACAACGGUAUAAGUAUACAGGUUGGAGCGAUAGACGUGCUGUCUGUCGCUCUUUU